RNAcentral lists this ribosomal RNA (468 nucleotides) under uncultured bacterium. RNAcentral describes it as "partial 16S ribosomal RNA". It matches the Rfam family "Bacterial small subunit ribosomal RNA", at positions 28 to 507 of the family's 1533-position model. The record is from RNAcentral.
GACGAACGCUGGCGGCGUGCUUAACACAUGCAAGUCGAACGGAAAGGCCCUGCUUUUGUGUGGUUCUCGAGUGGCGAACGGGUGAGUAACACGUGAGUAACCUGCCCUUGACUUUGGGAUAACUUCAGGGAACUGGGGCUAAUACCGGAUAGGAGCUCCUGCUGCAUGGUGUGGGUUGGAAAGUUUCGGCGGUUGGGGAUGGACUCGCGGCUUAACCGCUUGUUGGUGGGGUAGUGGCUUACCAAGGUUUUGACGGGUAGCCGGCCUGAGAGGGUUACCGGCGACAUUGGGACUGAGAUACGGCCCAGACUGCUAUGGGAGGCAGUAGUGGGGAAUAUUGCACAAUGGGCGGAAGCCUGAUGCAGCAACGCCGCGUGCGGGAUGACGGCCUUCGGGUUGUAAACCGCUUUCGAAUGUGACGAAGCGUGAGUGACGGUAAUGGGUAAAGAAGCAACGGCUAACUACGUG